RNAcentral lists this long non-coding RNA (1040 nucleotides) under Capsicum annuum. RNAcentral describes it as "long non-coding RNA (CANN_LNC009887)". Lineage: Eukaryota; Viridiplantae; Streptophyta; Magnoliopsida; Solanales; Solanaceae. The record is from RNAcentral.
UCAACGCUAGUAUUUACCAUAUAUAUUAAAAAUUGAUUUACAAAUCAUAAGGCAACUAAUCACAAAAAUCAAACUAAAUCAAUUCCACCAAUCUACUAAAUCAAUUUAGUACUGUCAUUUAGGAAUAGGCAUAAUCAAUAUUUUAUCAUAAAUGCAGAAUCAAAUUUCUGUCAGUAUCAAUUAAAUCAAAUGUAAUACAAGUAUAACAUCUUUAUAGAACAAACAGAGAUAAACACGUAAUUAAACGGAUUGAAUCAACAUUCAAAGUCAGAUAUUACAAACUUUAACAGAUUAAUUUAGGUAAUUUGCACCUAAAGAAAAAAAAGAACAUGCAAAUUAAACCAAAGAAAAUAAUUAUGCAAUUAAAGGAUUGAGGAAUCAAAUAGUAUAAUAGUCGGGUUCACCAAAAGGGACCUCACCGGUCCCCAAUUUUGAUGAGAACGUGACCGGUGAGAAGAGGGAGAGGUUGAAUCGCAGUUGGGGCUACGUUGCUGGUUCACGACUGUUGGAGGAGGCCACGAUGAUGGCGGAGCGGUGGAGGACAGGCGGUGGGAUACCGCUGCGGUUGUUGGCAGCGUUGAUUGGGCCUGGUUCCGCCGUCUGAAGAGGUGGCGGGCUGAUAUUAAUGUCCGUUCGAGGGGAGCUUAGACAUUUUACUAACCGAAUGAUACAUCUAGUGGCACUGGCUGGGAGGUGCUAAUUUUGGUUGUCCGAUGGCGGGAUUGAUGGUCGGAGCAAUUUUCCCUUGGUUUUCCCAAUGGCUGACGACGAAGAGGGGAGGGCGACGCAGUGGUUGGUUUGUCCUCCAACCAUUGGUGGUUGUUGUCGCUGUUGAUACUGCCUCAGACUCACCAGUCAUCAAUUCUGGCAAGUCAUCGAUGAGAGUGAGAGUCAGAAGAGAGCGAGAGGGAGGCAGCUGGAUUUUUCUCCAACCUAUGGUGGCUGGCCGGCGGUGGCAUCCAUAGUUAUGGUAUAGAAAAAAGUGAGGCUAGAGAGAAGGUAAAGAAAGAAAAGGUAGAGAGAGAGCCAAGGGAGGCGGA